AUGCGGCUGCCGCCCACGCACGCCAUCUGCCCCUGCAAACCUCCACGUGUCGCCGAUGAGUUCGUCGUUGCCGAUGGGAUCGCCGCAAGGUGUUACAAAAGAAGGUUGAUGAAGAUUAUAUUAUCUAAUCAGCAACUGAUCUGGUACAAUAAAGAAGCAGCAAAUGAGCUAGAAAAAAUCAGUCUGGAGAUGAAUAAAUCCGGCAUCUUGAUGUUUCAUAUCUAUUGGUUCCUUGUUUGGCAGCCUAUGUUGGUAGAUGUGAGAGCUCCAAAUAUGGAAGCAGCCAGCGUGCGAAAGAUUAAAGGAUGCAUUGCUACAGUGAAAACAUUCAGUGGGCGACCAACAACCAGAAUGUCAUUGCUUUUAUCAUGGCAUCCAACACUUGCAGAUGUGACAUAA
Molecule: ribosomal RNA, 399 nt
Filed under: Triticum aestivum (bread wheat)
Lineage: Eukaryota; Viridiplantae; Streptophyta; Magnoliopsida; Poales; Poaceae
Description: partial small subunit ribosomal RNA
Source: RNAcentral